RNAcentral lists this unclassified non-coding RNA (344 nucleotides) under fungal sp. RNAcentral's name for it is "partial internal transcribed spacer region". The stretch from base 1 to 46 matches the Rfam family "Eukaryotic small subunit ribosomal RNA", at positions 1786 to 1831 of the family's 1831-position model. The record is from RNAcentral. Lineage: Eukaryota; Fungi.
AAGUCGUAACAAGGUUUCCGUAGGUGAACCUGCGGAAGGAUCAUUAACACAAUUUUGAUUCACAAAUCUCUUUGCUUCGUUGUCUUUUUUUCUAGAUGCAAGAAAUUGUAGCUAGAGAAGAGCAACAAGCAAUUAACCCCCUUUCUAUGACGAAAAAUCUUUACAAAAGAAUGGAAGAAAAAGGAAUGUGUUUCGUCACAAUCCGUUUCAACCGUUUUUUUCCUUUACCCAAUUUUUUUUACCCCUUUUACAACCUGGAAUAGACUGAAAACAAAAAUCAUAUUCUAGAUCUCUAGAAUCUAAAACUAAGAAAACAACUCUUAGCAACGGAUAUCUAGGUUCUC